CUUGCAAAAAAUAAAUUUAAAUAUUAAAUCUGAAUUAAAUCAAAAUCAAUUAACAAUAAUAAUAACAACAACUAAAAUAAAUAAAUUAUUUCCUUAAUUUAAUAUUAAUUACUUAACUUAUAAAAAAAUUACCUUUUUUUCCUUCGUUUUCUUUCUUUUUCCUUCCCUCCCUCUUCUUCUCCUUCUCUUUUUCUUUUUCUUUUUUCUUCCUUCUCCUUUUUCUCUUCUUUUCUUCUUCUCCUUCUUCUUCUCUUUUUUUUUCUUUUCCUUCUUUCUUCCUAGCCGAAAUGAACUUUGGGGACCAUUAUAUGGUCCCCAAACAAAGAAAAAAACAAGCAGCCCUGUCCCAUCGCCGGUGCCGCCUCUACCACAUCCACCAUCAAUGCCACUUGCGGCAGGUCCUCAACCGAUGCCGCUUGCGGCAAGCCCUUCACCACCUGCCAUCUCCUAUCCCAUCAUUUCUUGUUUUUUGUUACAGCUUUCUUUUUGUUUCAGAUUUUUUUUCAGAUUUUUUUAAUAGUAGAUUUUGUUUUUUUUAACAAAUAAUGCCAAAGGCAAGGUGGUCAUGCCUCUGCCAGAGGCGGCACCACUCUUCAUGUACCAUUUUGGUACAUAAUUUAUGGUUUGUAUCAUUUUGGUGUUUUUUUUUACUAUAUUAGUAAAAAAACCCAUAUUUAGAAUGUGCCCCUAUUUAUACUAUUUAUUAAAC
This 709-nucleotide long non-coding RNA is filed under the name Gossypium barbadense (sea-island cotton). RNAcentral describes it as "long non-coding RNA (GBAR_LNC000377)". The record is from RNAcentral. Lineage: Eukaryota; Viridiplantae; Streptophyta; Magnoliopsida; Malvales; Malvaceae.